Molecule: ribosomal RNA, 720 nt
Filed under: Escherichia coli
Lineage: Bacteria; Pseudomonadati; Pseudomonadota; Gammaproteobacteria; Enterobacterales; Enterobacteriaceae
Description: partial 23S ribosomal RNA
Rfam family: Bacterial large subunit ribosomal RNA
Source: RNAcentral
UGUUUGAUGUUCUAACGUUGACCCGUAAUCCGGGUUGCGGACAGUGUCUGGUGGGUAGUUUGACUGGGGCGGUCUCCUCCUAAAGAGUAACGGAGGAGCACGAAGGUUGGCUAAUCCUGGUCGGACAUCAGGAGGUUAGUGCAAUGGCAUAAGCCAGCUUGACUGCGAGCGUGACGGCGCGAGCAGGUGCGAAAGCAGGUCAUAGUGAUCCGGUGGUUCUGAAUGGAAGGGCCAUCGCUCAACGGAUAAAAGGUACUCCGGGGAUAACAGGCUGAUACCGCCCAAGAGUUCAUAUCGACGGCGGUGUUUGGCACCUCGAUGUCGGCUCAUCACAUCCUGGGGCUGAAGUAGGUCCCAAGGGUAUGGCUGUUCGCCAUUUAAAGUGGUACGCGAGCUGGGUUUAGAACGUCGUGAGACAGUUCGGUCCCUAUCUGCCGUGGGCGCUGGAGAAUUGAGGGGGGCUGCUCCUAGUACGAGAGGACCGGAGUGGACGCAUCACUGGUGUUCGGGUUGUCAUGCCAAUGGCACUGCCCGGUAGCUAAAUGCGGAAGAGAUAAGUGCUGAAAGCAUCUAAGCACGAAACUUGCCCCGAGAUGAGUUCUCCCUGACUCCUUGAGAGUCCUGAAGGAACGUUGAAGACGACGACGUUGAUAGGCCGGGUGUGUAAGCGCAGCGAUGCGUUGAGCUAACCGGUACUAAUGAACCGUGAGGCUUAACCUU